Molecule: ribosomal RNA, 232 nt
Filed under: uncultured bacterium
Lineage: Bacteria
Description: partial 16S ribosomal RNA
Rfam family: Bacterial small subunit ribosomal RNA
Source: RNAcentral
UGAGUAACCUGCCCUUCACUCUGGGAUAACUCCGGGAAACCGGGGCUAAUACUGGAUAUGACUCGAACAGGCAUCUGUUUCGGGUGGAAAGAUUUAUUGGUGGAGGAUGGACUCGCGGCCUAUCAGCUUGUUGGUGAGGUAACGGCUCACCAAGGCAACGAUGCGUAGCCGACCUGAGAGGGUNAUCGGCCACAUUGGAACUGAGACACGGUCCAGACUCCUACGGGAGGNA